Non-coding RNA from Schistosoma rodhaini, 46 nucleotides. The record is from Rfam. Lineage: Eukaryota; Metazoa; Platyhelminthes; Trematoda; Strigeidida; Schistosomatidae.
AUAAAGGCCCUUUUUAAGGCCACCCACAAUUUGAUUUAAUCUUUUU